This 332-nucleotide RNase P RNA is filed under the name chicken gut metagenome. RNAcentral's name for it is "Bacterial RNase P class A". It matches the Rfam family "Bacterial RNase P class A". Rfam says of the family: Ribonuclease P (RNase P) is a ubiquitous endoribonuclease, found in archaea, bacteria and eukarya as well as chloroplasts and mitochondria. Its best characterised activity is the generation of mature 5'-ends of tRNAs by cleaving the 5'-leader elements of precursor-tRNAs. The record is from RNAcentral.
AGCGGACUGCGCGGCCGCGGCGCAUUUUUGUGCGACGAGGAAAGUCCGGGCAUCGCAGGGCAGGACGCCUGAUAACGUCAGGUGAAGGCGACUUCAAGGAAAGUGCAACAGAAAUAGACCGCCGUUUUUCGGCAAGGGUGGAAAGGCGAGGUAAGAGCUCACCGACGGGACGGUAACGCCCCGUGCCAUGUAAACCCCGUCCGAUGCAAGGUUGGGCUGCGUUCACACGGGUUGCCCGCCCGAACGCAGCCGUGAAUACCGCUUGAGCUUAUCGGUGACGGUAAGCGUAGAUAAAUGACCGCGCUCGACAGAACCCGGCUUACAGGUCCGCC